Molecule: long non-coding RNA, 5261 nt
Organism: Trifolium pratense (red clover)
Lineage: Eukaryota; Viridiplantae; Streptophyta; Magnoliopsida; Fabales; Fabaceae
Exons: 6
Source: RefSeq, a predicted model, not a curated record
UGAAGGGGGAAGGGGAACAGAAACUUGCUCAUCAAUAAUGUGAAGUUUCUUCACUUUACCCCCUUUCGAUUUUACGCGUCACGAUUCCUUUAACCCUCGCUUAAUUCCUUAUAUCCAUUUUCAUCACUCGGAUCAACACCACUUUUCACGACCAAAUUUCAGGCGAAGCUAAAUCGUAAAGCCAUUGUUCUACACUUCUUUUCACGCGCAGGAAAUGAAUAAUGAAUUCAAUUCAUGAAGUUUAUAAGAUUACAAAAGUACAAACAUUUAUAAGAGUUGACAUAGAUGGUUGGGGAGUUGACAUAGAUGGUUGGAUAUUUUGCCGCACUUACUUGGUUCAAGUCAGAAUUCCCACGAGUAAAUCUUUACUGGGCGUCCCUAAGCACUUUGGAACGGUUGUGACCCAAAGCGUUUUGGAGCUUGAAUUUGUAUUUGAUCCAAGGUGCAGGCUGAGACCAGAAUAAUUAAAAUAGGUAGGACUGUUGAAAUUUUGGCAUCACCUUUAUUUUUUAUUAUCCCAAAGAAACGACAAGACUGUCACUUAGUUAUUACUAUUUUGGAUCUGUAACGAACAUAUCUUUUGAUUCUAAGUUUCUAACACUGAAAUUAUUCUGAAAAGAGUACAUCUUCAAUUUAACACUGAAAUUAUUCUGACUACCCAUUCUAAAAUAUAUGAAAUAUUGUAGUGCCUAUUUUAAUGAUGCUAGGGACUACGGAACAAAAAUUCAUGUGCUUUAGAAACUAAAAUGACGUUUUUUCAUAUACUUCCAAAACUAUUUAUUAUGUAUUUGUAUAUUGUUUGGUGACUAAACUGGAAAGAGGGCUUAUUCAUCCUCAAAAUUAUUUACUCUCUCCAUCAAAUAUUAAGUUUCACAUUUGUAAAAGAGAAAUAUACCCUAGGCACUAGUUAAAGAAGUAAAGAUAGUAAAAAUACUUUGGAAAUUGUGUCGUCAAAUUCUUGAAAUAUAAAAUGUGUUGUUUUUAAUAUAAAACUUACUUAUUUUAGUUCCUUAACUAGUGCCCAUGAUACUAGUUUACACGACCCUUAUUUUAUUUCAAUUCUACAUUCAAAUAUAUCCCUCACUUUGAAGUCUACUAUACUCAACUGUACAUUUAUGGCAACAAUUUGUCCGGUGCGUCUCUGGGACACGGUAUGUUAUGAUAGCUAGACCAUGGACCCUUUUCGGAUUGGACCUUGACCUAGUCCGAAACAUUAUUGUUGGUUAAUAAUACAAUGGUUUGUUGUUCAACGGUUCUAUCUAUUUUAAUUGCCGGAUGAAUAUGUUUAUGAUAGGAUGAUAGGUAGAUUUUAAGGUUAAAAUUUUGUUUAUCGAUUCUAUUUUGCUGAGGAUUAUGUAUAGUGGACAUAUAAUUCAUAAUUAUUUAAAGCACAAUAGCGAGGUUUAUCUAAAGGAAUAGGAAUUUUUCAAAGGCCUCCUUUAUAUAUAUUUUUUCUUUCAAUUAGACAAUUUAUACCAAUAUAGUUAGGAUGUCAGUGAAGGCAUAAUGAUGGCUUUGCACUUCCAAUUUUUCGUUAACAAAAAUAUAUCUAGAAAAUUACUGUACUUUUGUUUGGUAAUUACUAUUAAAUUAUCAAUUUAAAAGGUGAAACUUUACUUUUGAAUUGUGUGAUUUGAGCUCACAAGAUGAACUGUGUUGUUCGCGGACUUGGAAGAGCCGAGCUUGAGCUAAAAAGAAGGUUUAUAUCAAACUCAAUUCGAAUUUCAAGAUGAACUAAUUUUAUCGAGUCAAGCUGAACUGGAGAAACUUGACAGAGCAGCAAUUCUUCGAAUACUCAUAAUCCCUUGGAACAACACUCGUUUGUUUGCACGAGCAGAGUUACAGAAGAGUUUUGGUGAAGCGAAAUCUAAAGAGUUGACAUAGAUGAUUGGACCUCUUGCUCACACUUGGAUACAAGUCACAGUUUCCGCAUUGGCAGGUCAUACAAUUCUAUUGCAAAUUUUUGUAGAGGUUUGUGGUUCUUCUUAGCAUGUCUCUCCUAAUCUAAAUUUCAUGGUACGGUAUACCCAAAUAAGAAUAAAAGGUUGAGUUUGUCUAAUAUGAACAUCCCAAAAAAGGUCCAAAGGUGAAUUCUUACAAAUUUUAGUAAAAGAAUGAAUUUAUAAUAAUAAAAAAUAGGGAUAACACCUUAGAAUAAAAUGUUUAGAAAGUUUUAUAAACUAAAUAUCUUUAAUGGACAAUGGUCUUCGAAUAAAAAGUAGCCGUAGAUAUUGACCAUUGCUCGGUAAGUGUACUUAAAUAAUACAUGUACACAAAUUUGUUUUUAUUAUUGUAUUAAUAAGUUUCACACAAUUGGAUUAAUACGUCACAUCACAUAUCAUUCGAUACAAUAGACAUUUUAAUCCAAUUUUUAAAACAAAUUUAUGUAUAAUAAUGAAAAAAUGUCUCACUUGUACACCAUAGACUAUAGGAUUAUGACAACUUUCCAUAGAAAAGUAUGGUUUAAAUAGAAAUAACUCUAUGAUUGGAUAUGAUAAAUCAUAUAAUAUAACCCUAUAUAAAAUGGUAUAUCCUUUCUCUACCCUAUAUGUCUUUGUACAUAGACAAUCAUUUUAGAAACAUAAACAUAAUAAUAAUACAAUUGCAUGUAUCUGAUCUAGAUCCGGGAAAAAGGGGGAUGGAGAAUACUUGCAUUUUUAAGUAAUCAUUUUUAAAAUAAUCUUUUAUAAACUUAAUUAAGUAAUGCAAAAUUACCUUACUCUAACGAUUUGUUUUAGGGGUUAUUCUACAUUUGUUUUCUUCAUGUGUGCUCUACUUUAAUUUAGCUUUGAAACACAUUUUAAGCAAAUCAUGCAAUUGUUCUAAGGCUUGCUGUGAUACUCUUUUUUAAUCCUCAAUGACUUGCUGCAAAUCUUCUGUACAGUAAUUUUAAGUAAUUGAUGCCAUAAUAUAGUGUAGCUCUUGUUUGUUGCUUAGCUUUGCUGGUUACAGUAUGUUUUACGUUUCUUUUGAAAAAUAGAGAAAAUCCUAACUCACUUUAUAUCAUAUAUGUAUUUUUACACUCUUCAAUUUUUAAUUUAUAUAAUUUCGAAAGUUAAAACUUGGAGUAGAAUUGGCAAUUUUAAUUAUAAUUUACUAGCUUAGAUCUACCGGAAAUGACUAUAUAUUGGCAAGUCCUUAAAUGGAUUACUACUAUAAUUUUUAGCAAGACUAAGAUAGAAUGUUAUACCUUAAAGUCAUAUUGCACUUUCUUGACAAUACAUUAUCAAAGUGUAUUAAAUUUUUUUUAAAGACAAAGGUACAUUAUUAAUUAAGAAAACAAAUUGUAUUAAGAGAAAAACGCCCCAUGAAAGAUUUUUGUUUGUGCAAUGUAACUCCAAUUUAGCAUCUUCAUAAGUUUACUUUCACAUUUUUUUUUUUAAGUAAAGGUUUACUUUCAGUUGAAACUCAUCUUCUAGGAAACAUGGCACAUUGAAUUACUCGUUCAUAUUGACAUUUGGAGCAAAUGACCCUAAGCAUUUUAGAACGGUUGUAACCCAAAAACCUUUCGAAGCCUGAAUUUGGAUUGGAUCUAAGUUGCAGGCUGAGAACAGAAUAAUUAAAUUAGCUAGAACUGUUGAAAUGUUGGCACCACCUUUAUUUUUUAAUUCUCCACAUAAAAGACAAGAUUGUCACUUAAUUAAUUAUUGUACUAUUUUUAAUCUGUGAGGAACACAUAUCUAUUGACUCUAAGUUUCUAACACUGAAUUGUUCAAAAAAAGUUGCUAACACUGAAAUUAUUAUCAAAAGAAUACAUUUUCAAUUUUGCUUCUAAAAGUGUUUAAUAUCUCUAUUUAGUUUCUAAAUAUAUAAAAAUAAUAAGUGUUGUCUCUAAUUAUAAGUCUCCUUUAAAAAAGAAUUGUAUCUAAGUAAAAGCACAUUUGCAGUUCCAAGUGAACUUAUCUCAGUUAAUAUGGACAUCACAUUUUAUAUUUAAGGGUCGGAAUUCGAAUUCCGGACACUCUACUUUUUCACUUUAAAAGUGAAAUUUUUAACCACUAGCCUACUUUAAAAAAAAUAAAUAAAUUCACAUUUGCAAAUUGCUAGAUACAUUUUUUACCAUUUGUCUUGGAAGAUAAAAAUUAAUAUUAGGACACAUAAAUUUUACAAAAUUCACCGUGGUCCACCGUGGACAAGUGAUAUACCGAAUAUGAAUUUUACAAAAUUCACUAUUGGAUUGAAAAUUUAUAUCGUAUAGAUCAUCCAUAAAUUUUUUAAAUUUUUUUGAAAAUCACUUGAUGUGUUAUUGAGACCCAUCAAGAUUUACGUUAUUUAAUAAACCGUUAAUCUUGAUGUGUCUCAAUAACAUAAUAAAUGAUUUUCAAUUUUUCUAAAUUUUUCUAUGGAUGAUAUAUAUGAUUUAAACUUUCAAUCAAACGGUGAAUUUUAUAAAAUUCGUAUUCGUUAUAAUGGUAUUCGUGACUGGUCCACUAUGAACCACCUGAUGAAGUGGUCAAUAUUAGAAUUUAUCAUAUGAACUUUGUUGCUUAACUUGCUUUGGUCCCCAUUGUUUUAAACUAUUUAUUACAGUAUUUGCAAAAAAAAAUAUAGUUUAGAAACUUCCAAGACUGAACAAAGAGUUUAUUCAUUCUCAACAUUAUUUCUUCCCUCCCGUCCUAUGUUAAAUUUCAAAUUUGCAAAAGAGAAAUGUAUCAAAAUAUGUGCUAUUAUUUUAUAAAAUUGAUAAUAUUUGUUGUAUCAUUUUUAAUUAUCUGUAUAUAAUAAACAUAAACAUCUAAACUUAAGGUGAUAUUUAUAUGGACCGAGGUAGUAUUUUUUAAAAACAUUUCAUUUUCAUACAAGAUUUCGAAUCUUGAAUAUAUAUUGCUGCCUUAGAGUUGAGUGUGAUUUAUGGUUAUAUAGGACACCCUAAAACAAUUUUUUAUCUUCAUAAUUAUCAUUUGAAAAUUUUAUUGUUCUAAGGAACUGGCCAUUCACAAACAACUACUCCAUAGCCUAUGCAUUAUAAAAUUAAUUAACAGAACUGGCCAAUGAUGACUUGUGCUUCUUAGUUAUAUUAAAAUUAAAAUUAAUUAUUAACUUUGUGUCAAAAAUAUGAAGGUAAACUCAACUCAAGCAACUGUCGGUGAUUACACCCACUUGGUGCAAUUUGUAAAGUGAUCAUUUAAUUUAUUUUUUGAUAUAUCUGUUUAAUUAGUUUUAUUAUUACUACUACAGCUGUCUACCUAUAAAUCUCAUUUGAUUUUGUUUUUACCAAUAUAAUAAAUUUCUAUUACAAUUUUUGAACCCAUGAUCGAUUG